This 77-nucleotide transfer RNA is filed under the name Podarcis lilfordi (Lilford's wall lizard). Its description in RNAcentral is "tRNA.Ala". It matches the Rfam family "tRNA". Rfam says of the family: Transfer RNA (tRNA) molecules are approximately 80 nucleotides in length. Their secondary structure includes four short double-helical elements and three loops (D, anti-codon, and T loops). Lineage: Eukaryota; Metazoa; Chordata; Lepidosauria; Squamata; Lacertidae. The record is from RNAcentral.
GGAGAAGAACUGUAGCUCAGUGACAGAGCAUCUCCUUUGCAUGCAGAAGAUCCCAGGUUCAAUCCCUAGCAUCUCCA